RNAcentral lists this long non-coding RNA (1300 nucleotides) under Gadus morhua (Atlantic cod). Its description in RNAcentral is "lncRNA (ENSGMOG00000025472.1)". Lineage: Eukaryota; Metazoa; Chordata; Actinopteri; Gadiformes; Gadidae. The record is from RNAcentral.
GCGCGUUUUUUGAAAAAGUAUUUUACUUGUGUUUUAAUGAUCAUAUCACAUUAAAAUAAUUAAAAACUAUUAUUGGCCCAUUCCUACAUUGUAGAAAAAAAGAAAUAAAGUUUAUUUGAGUGAGUUUGAGCGGUCGGCUUUCCGUAGACGACGGCCGGGGCGUAGUCUUGUCAUCAUCGUUGUCGUCAUCGUCGUCGAUUUUUACCAAACAAGCAAACAAGCGUUGGUUGAUAAGCUGCUCUCUCUUUACGGAUAUAUCUUGAGCAUUUUGAGAGCGUUUAAAAUGCAGUCCGGGGUCGCGGACCGACACGGGUCCCCCAGCAAGAGGACUCUUGCCCGGGGGAUGAGCGAGGACGAGUCCCUGCGCAUCAUCAUCUCGGAGACGGAGACCCCAUCCCGGCGGCUCGCCCGCAGCGACAGCCGAAGCGGAACUCUUAAGAGGAAGAGUGGAAGUCAGCAGUGUGAUCAGGACAUUUUCAAGACCCUGCCUGACGUGAUGGAGCUGCAGGCCAGCUACGAGGAGGUGGUGCAGGAGCGGCGGGGCAUGGAGCUGGAGCGCGAGGCGCUGCUGUUCCAGGUGGACGUGCUGCAGGACUCCCUGGAGAGCGUGGAGGAGCUGCUGGCCGAGGCGCACCGGGAGGCCGGCCAGGCCCGCACGGAAGCGGAGCUGGGGAGGAUGACCAAUAGGACGCUGGAGGACAAAGUCAGAGCGCUGACGACUGAAGUGGAGCGACUGAACGAGGAGAGGGACGCCCUAGCUACCCUUCAGAAACACGCGCUCAUUCUGGAGGAGGCAAAGGCCUACAGCACCCUGGACCAGGAGGCACCCAGCACCCUGGCCCUAGCACCCAGCACCCUGGACCAGGAGGCACCCAGCACCCAGGCCCUAGCACCCAGCACCCUGGCUCAGGCCCCCAUCACCCAGGCCCCAGCACCCAGCUCUGAGGAGCCCUGGUCCAGUCCUCUCCAGAAGCUGGCGGACAUCACCCUGUCCAAGAUGAGCACUCUGGCGCUGGUGGACCCCCGCCCCCCCGAGGGGGUGCGGGGCCGGCCGGACGGGUGGCGGCUGGAGGAGGAGGAGGACGAGAGGAACAACGACACAGACAGCGUGGGGGCCUACGAGGACGCCUCGGCCGACACGCCCGACCUCGACCCCCAGGCCUUCCCGGGGCCCGGGGAGGACGACGACGACGAGCGGGACGGGGGGGAGGAGGAGGAGGAGAGGGGGGGCGAGACGGACCCCAGGGACCCCAGGGACCCCAAGGACCAGGACCCGAACAGCUCCUGCGUUCUGUCUUAA